CCUACGGGAGGCAGCAGUGAGGAAUAUUGGUCAAUGGACGAGAGUCUGAACCAGCCAAGUAGCGUGAAGGAUGACUGCCCUAUGGGUUGUAAACUUCUUUUAUAUGGGAAUAAAACAGGGUAUGCAUACCCUCUUGUAUGUACCAUAUGAAUAAGGAUCGGCUAACUCCGUGCCAGCAGCCGCGGUAAUACGGAGGAUACGAGCGUUAUCCGGAUUUAUUGGGUUUAAAGGGAGCGUAGGUGGAUUGUUAAGUGAGUUGUGAAAGUUUGCGGCUCAACCGUAAAAUUGCAGUUGAAACUGGCAGUCUUGAGUACAGUAGAGGUGGGCGGAAUUCGUGGUGUAGCGGUGAAAUGCUUAGAUAUCACGAAGAACUCCGAUUGCGAAGGCAGCUCACUGGACUGCAACUGACACUGAUGCUCGAAAGUGUGGGUAGCAAACAGGAUUAGAUACCCGGGUAGUC
This 460-nucleotide ribosomal RNA is filed under the name uncultured bacterium. RNAcentral's name for it is "partial 16S ribosomal RNA". It matches the Rfam family "Bacterial small subunit ribosomal RNA", at positions 338 to 795 of the family's 1533-position model. The record is from RNAcentral.